This is a long non-coding RNA of Alexandromys fortis (reed vole), 158 nucleotides long. RefSeq lists it as uncharacterized. The transcript is spliced from 3 exons. The record is from RefSeq and is a predicted model, not a curated record. Lineage: Eukaryota; Metazoa; Chordata; Mammalia; Rodentia; Cricetidae.
CGUUAAUCGAUGAAACCUCCCAGUCUGGUGGGACCAGCCAGAGGCGCUCAAGCAGGAGGAUACCUUUCAUGGAUUUCCUGGAUUUAUUCUCCUGCUGCCAGGAAAGCUCGGUGGAGAGGCCAUCUGACUGGGCCUGGAAGUGGUUCAUCUGAGACCAG